This is a transfer RNA of Ovis aries (sheep), 73 nucleotides long. It matches the Rfam family "tRNA". Rfam says of the family: Transfer RNA (tRNA) molecules are approximately 80 nucleotides in length. NCBI's taxonomy places the organism in Eukaryota, Metazoa, Chordata, Mammalia, Artiodactyla, Bovidae. The record is from Rfam.
UUCCUGGUAGCUCAGAUGGCAAAGAAUCUGCCUGCAAUGCAGAAGACCUAGGUUCAGUCUCCGGGUCAGGAAU